AAGCCAACAUCGGGACCCCUGACACUCCGCCCAAAGUCAGAAAGGUGCUGGGACUUCACCUGGCCGGUGACAGGCUAGGUCCCUGCAGUGGCGGGCGCACCUCCCCCAGGGGGUUGGCGGACGAGGAGCAGGAGGGGCUGACACGGAGGAGGAGCAAACGCAGGAGAAUCCAAAAUACUUUUUAAAUCGUACAUUGAGAUUUUAUGAGAAAAUGGACAUUCAUCAAGGAACCCUAAUAGCCAACAUUCUAAAUUUCAAAAGCUAAGACCGGUAUCCUGUGACUUUGAA
Molecule: long non-coding RNA, 288 nt
Organism: Leopardus geoffroyi (Geoffroy's cat)
Lineage: Eukaryota; Metazoa; Chordata; Mammalia; Carnivora; Felidae
Exons: 3
Source: RefSeq, a predicted model, not a curated record